This 400-nucleotide ribosomal RNA is filed under the name uncultured bacterium. RNAcentral's name for it is "bacterial SSU rRNA". It matches the Rfam family "Bacterial small subunit ribosomal RNA", at positions 355 to 746 of the family's 1533-position model. The record is from RNAcentral.
UGGGGAAUAUUGGGCAAUGGGCGAAAGCCUGACCCAGCGACACCGCGUGGGUGAUGAAAGCCUUCGGGUUGUAAAGCCCUUUCGUGCGGAAAGAACUGUUCCGCGGUUAAUACCCGCGGAAUUUGACGGUACCGCAGGAAGAAGCACCGGCUAACUCCGUGCCAGCAGCCGCGGUAAUACGGAGGGUGCGAGCGUUGUUCGGAAUUAUUGGGCGUAAAGGGCGCGUAGGCGGUUGUGUAAGUCAGAUGUGAAAUACUCCGGCUUAACCGGGGAACUGCGUUUGAAACUACACAGCUAGAGUACAGGAGAGGGAAAUGGAAUUCCCGGUGUAGAGGUGAAAUUCGUAGAUAUCGGGAGGAACACCAGUGGCGAAGGCGAUUUUCUGGCCUGAUACUGACGC